AGGAACUGAUCUCCAAGUUGUUUUGGACAAGUUCAGAAGCUUACUGAGGCCUUAAAAUUAUAAUUUUGUUUCAUUUGGGUUGCUUUUGAACAAAAGUGUAAGGGUCACUGGAAGACAGGACACAACCUGCUGAGAUGCAACGAAGACAGUGUUCUACAGAUGAAACACAGGAACACUUCACUGGAAACUGAAUGGAGAUGAAAAUAUAAAGUGGAAUGAGAGCUGGAUUUAAAGCUCAUGUAUAAUCAAGCUGAGGAAGCUGUAUACUGAUUUUGACUUUGGUGGUCACCUAUGGGACUGUCCAUCCUAGAGUCUGCAUGCAUAAAGAAAAGUGUUUGAAGACCUGAAAACUGAAAAUGAGGUAUGCCACUGUUUGCUAGCCUAUUUUAAAUUCA
Molecule: long non-coding RNA, 395 nt
Filed under: Zonotrichia albicollis (white-throated sparrow)
Lineage: Eukaryota; Metazoa; Chordata; Aves; Passeriformes; Passerellidae
Description: lncRNA (ENSZALG00000015725.1)
Source: RNAcentral